GACGUAGGAGGCGAGCGUUGUCCGGAUUCAUUGGGCGUAAAGAGCACGCAGGCGGUUUGGCAAGUCGGAUGUGAAAACCCGGAGCUCAACUCCGGACCUGCAUCUGAAACUGCCCGACUAGAGGUAGGUAGGGGAGAUCGGAAUUCCUGGUGUAGCGGUGAAAUGCGCAGAUAUCAGGAGGAACACCAAUUGCGAAGGCAGCUCGCUGGGACGUAACUGACGCUGAGACGCGAAAGCGUGGGGAGCAAACAGG
This 253-nucleotide ribosomal RNA is filed under the name uncultured bacterium. RNAcentral's name for it is "partial 16S ribosomal RNA". It matches the Rfam family "Bacterial small subunit ribosomal RNA", at positions 524 to 776 of the family's 1533-position model. The record is from RNAcentral.